Molecule: long non-coding RNA, 1154 nt
Organism: Artibeus jamaicensis (Jamaican fruit-eating bat)
Lineage: Eukaryota; Metazoa; Chordata; Mammalia; Chiroptera; Phyllostomidae
Exons: 3
Source: RefSeq, a predicted model, not a curated record
UAGGAAAUAUUUAAAACACUGACACUGUCUUCAUUCAUGCUUGACCCGAAAUGUCUGAUUUUUCCUCAGCUGUUAUAUCUACCAGCCAAAACUCUAUCCAUCCUGUAUUGGUUGUAUUUAGUUAUACCUUCUCAAAGGUCUUCUGCAACAACAGAGGUUAGAGAUUCCCAGUGAUGGCUGAACAAAGGAAUCAAUGAUGAGUUUUUUAUUCCAAUGUCCACACCUGAUUCUGGUUCAAGUUCAUCAGAAUUGGUCAGGAUUUAUCUCCCACGUGAGGGCUUUCCUGAAUAACCUGGGAGGACAGCGUGACUCUGCUGGAAGAAUACUGAAUUUUAAGAGAAAAAUAUAUUAGGAAAAUAACAGCUGAACUCACCAGGAAGAAAGAAAUGGGAUUUUGUUGUUGCCGUAAAUGAUGGGGGAACAUUACGACAGAACUUCAGGCUGUUGCUGAAGUAGUUCAGAGGUAUGGGAUCUGGAAUAAAGUUGACAGAUCGGAGUAUUGCAGCUCAUGUGGGAACAGAAGCUGUAGUUUUGUCUUCUUGUAAGAUGGUGAGCUGAGAUACAACCCUCUGCAAAGACAAAAGGUAUUGAUGUCGCUAUUGGUUACAAUGCCUGUAGAAACUGGCUUAGAAAAACCACAGGUCUAGAGAUCCGGCAGGAAACAUGUCAUUACCACAUCCAUGAAUGGAAAAAAUGUAGCCUAGGUAAGAUAAAAAUCCCAGUUCCAAAUCAGAUGCUGUGAAUUCUGAACGUUUACUGCUCAUGAGAUAGGAAGACAAAAGUUGAUACGUUAACAUUGGUUCCAGCAGUAUCUAUAGCCCACAAUACAUGAGACUCCCACAAAGAAAAUCCACCCUUACUGGAGAUGAUAUAACAAUAAACAAUUCAAAGAAUACAUGAAAAAUUAAUCACAGUGCAAAAAGAGCCAACAAAUGAAGCAAACAUAAAAAUUAACAUUUAAAAACUAGGGAUAAAAAUGAUCCCUAGUCUCACAUGACUGUCAGAUAUUAGUAUUUAAAGUUAUUAAAUACAAGAAGGUACAAACCCCACAAUGGAAGUGGUAUGGCAAUAAAAAAAACCUAAAUAUUGGACAGAGCCAAAUGAAAUCUCUAACAAUGACAAGAAAAGAUAUAUAGAACAUUAAAGUCAACUCA